This 252-nucleotide ribosomal RNA is filed under the name uncultured bacterium. RNAcentral describes it as "partial 16S ribosomal RNA". It matches the Rfam family "Bacterial small subunit ribosomal RNA", at positions 524 to 776 of the family's 1533-position model. The record is from RNAcentral.
UACGUAGGGUCCAAGCGUUAUCCGGAAUCACUGGGCGUAAAGCGUGCGUAGGUGGCGUGUUAAGUGAGAUGUGAAACCGUGUGGCUCAACCAUACGUUGUGUCUCAUACUGGCAUGCUAGAGGACGGCAGAGGCAAGUGGAAUUACGAGUGUAGCAGUGAAAUGCGUAGAUAUUCGUAGGAACACCAAUGGCGAGGGCAGCUUGCUGGGCCACUCCUGACACUGAGGUACGAAAGCGUGGGGAGCAAACAGG